AGAGUUUGAUCAUGGCUCAGGACGAACGCUGGCGGCGUGCCUAAGAUAUGCAAGUCGAGCGACGAAUCUCGGUCAACCGAAGCUUGCUUUGGACGACUGGGUUGAAAGCGGCAAACGGGUGAGUAACGCGUAGAUAACCUACCUCAUACAUGGGAACAGCUCCGUGAAAGCGGAAUUAAUGCCCAAUAGCCUGGUGUGGUGAAAUUCCUAUCCAGUAAAGGGCCUACUUUACUACGGUUUUGUAGGUUGGUAUGAGAGGGGUCUGCGUCCUAUCAGCUUGUUGGUAAGGUAAUGGCUUACCAAGGCUAAGACGGGUAGGGGGCGUGAGAGCGCGGUCCCCCACAGUGGCACUGAAACACGGGCCACACUCCUACGGGAGGCAGCAAUUAGGAAUCUUUCGCAAUGGGGGAAACCCUGACGAAGCGACGCCGCGUGAAGGAAGACGGCCUACGGGUUGUAAACUUCUUUUAUUAGGGAGCAGGAAGGAUAGUACCUAAUGAAUAAGCACCUGCUAACUGCGUGCCAGAAGCCUCGGUGAUGCGUAGGGUGCAAGCGUUGUCCGGAUUUAUUGGGCGUAAAGUGACUGUAGGCGGUCAAGGAAAUUUUGUUUCAAAGACUCAGGCUUAACUUGAGGAAGGGACAAAAAACCACUGACU
RNAcentral lists this ribosomal RNA (656 nucleotides) under uncultured bacterium. RNAcentral describes it as "bacterial SSU rRNA". It matches the Rfam family "Bacterial small subunit ribosomal RNA", at positions 8 to 642 of the family's 1533-position model. The record is from RNAcentral.